This 274-nucleotide ribosomal RNA is filed under the name uncultured bacterium. RNAcentral describes it as "partial 16S ribosomal RNA". It matches the Rfam family "Bacterial small subunit ribosomal RNA", at positions 523 to 796 of the family's 1533-position model. The record is from RNAcentral.
AUACGGAGGGUGCAAGCGUUAUCCGGAUUCAUUGGGUUUAAAGGGUGCGCAGGCGGAUAUUUAAGUCAGUGGUGAAAUCCCGGGGCUCAACCUCGGAACUGCCAUUGAUACUGAAUAUCUGGAAUACGGUUGAAGUGGGCGGAAUGUAGCAUGUAGCGGUGAAAUGCAUAGAGAUGCUACAGAACACCGAUCGCGAAGGCAGCUCACUAAGCCGAUAUUGACGCUCAGGCACGAAAGCGUGGGUAGCAAACAGGAUUAGAAACCCUAGUAGUCC